UACGUAGGGCGCAAGCGUUAUCCGGAAUUAUUGGGCGUAAAGAGCUCGUAGGCGGUUUGUCGCGUCUGCCGUGAAAGUCCGGGGCUCAACCCCGGAUCUGCGGUGGGUACGGGCAGACUUGAGUGCAGUAGGGGAGACUGGAAUUCCUGGUGUAGCGGUGAAAUGCGCAGAUAUCAGGAGGAACACCGAUGGCGAAGGCAGGUCUCUGGGCUGUAACUGACGCUGAGGCGCGAAAGCGUGGGGAGCAAACAGG
RNAcentral lists this ribosomal RNA (253 nucleotides) under uncultured bacterium. Its description in RNAcentral is "partial 16S ribosomal RNA". It matches the Rfam family "Bacterial small subunit ribosomal RNA", at positions 524 to 776 of the family's 1533-position model. The record is from RNAcentral.